RNAcentral lists this small RNA (622 nucleotides) under Oryza sativa Japonica Group (Japanese rice). RNAcentral describes it as "sRNA Os08g0136750". The record is from RNAcentral. Lineage: Eukaryota; Viridiplantae; Streptophyta; Magnoliopsida; Poales; Poaceae.
CUGAUGUGUAGUUGCAGUUGGAGACCAUCUGCUUGGCGGCUUGGGCGAGGCAGGCGUCGCAGUCGCCGCCGGAGACGUCGCCGCGGCACUGCGCGAGGCCGUAGAAGACCUCGGAGCCCCUGCCGGCCUUGGAGGUGGCGAAUCCGCCGCCGGUGCGCGCCUUGGCGACGAGGUCGGAGACGACGAAGUUGACGGCGCGCCGCCUGGUGACGGCCUCGCUGCUGUUGAGAUCGCCGUAGUUCAUCCACGUCUCCGAGCAGAAGCUGCCGAUGGGAUCAUACGUCGUCGCCGCCAUGCCCAGUGGGAGCAAGGCAACCAAUGAGACGACGGCGACCAGUACCAGCUGGCUUAAUGCCGCCAUGGAUGGCGCCAAUUAUGUACUCUCACACUCUCACUUCACCUAGAUUCAAUUCUUGCUAGCUACUGGAGUAGUAGAGAUCGAUCGAUGUCGAUCAGCAGAUGUAGGUGGCUAUAGCUGGGUUGUGUGUUCGAUCGGGAGCAAUGGCUGGAGCUUAUAAAGGCGAGGAUUGGAAGGGAAGGAGAGAGAGAUCGAUGUGCUUGCAGUAUAUUGCAGGGGAACAUAGUAGACAGACAUAGUAUCACAACCCUUGUUCUUGCUUGC